AUAUAUAUAUAUAUGCGAGUAUAUAUAGCUGGUAACCCCAGUAAGUAUUGACUAUAUAUAUUUAUUGUCUUUCAAGGGUAAAGAACAUUCAGCAAAUAUGAAAACUUUGUUUAUUUUCGCUGCAGUUCUUUUUUGUGCUGCUGUAGUUUUGGCACAGAGCGAUGACAAUUGUCCACCAAAUGAUUGCCAAAUUCUUCCUCUUGAUGCUCCUUGCAAAGAUGAAGGUGGGAAACUAAUCCCACAUACUAAAUGUGAAUCAGGACUAAGAUGUUGUGGAUAUUUAAAAAAAUGUGUUAAGGAUGAACAUAAGCAUUGAUCACUAUCCCAAUUCAACGGUUUGGUUGUUUUCGAUAAUUAGUAAUAAAAUAUUGAAAACAUAUAACAA
Diorhabda carinulata is the source of this 385-nucleotide long non-coding RNA. RefSeq lists it as uncharacterized. The record is from RefSeq and is a predicted model, not a curated record. NCBI's taxonomy places the organism in Eukaryota, Metazoa, Arthropoda, Insecta, Coleoptera, Chrysomelidae. The transcript is spliced from 2 exons.